UUAUAUUUUGCAAUAAGAAUAUUUAUGAUUUAAUUGGUUUUAUUAUAAUUCCAAUUAUUAAAGAAAGAUGAGUAAGAAUAUUGUUGGUGUUCUUAACUCAAGAGAAAUGUUUUCAAUUAUUUAUUCAUUAAAUUUUGAAAACCCGGCUAAGUGAAUCAUAGAAUAUUAAGCACUACACCAUGACUUAAGAUUAGAAUUCAAGGAGACCUAUUGAGAAUAGAUUUCUUGUAGGCUUUGAGCAUCAGGAGGAUUAGCACUGCUAUUCCGAUUCAGAAAUAAAGUUAAACGACAGGCUUUGCCUAGACAGGUUAAUGGCUGGUGAUGACGGGGCAGAGCUGAGGCUAGGGUUCAACUCCGUAUUUUGUCUUCCGCUAUUGCACUAGCUUUUAUUUGUCUGUUAUUUCUCCAACUUAAGACUUUUAUGUUAAAUUCUGAAUUAUGUUUUUAUCGAGCUUAAACUCUCAACUUCUAGCUCUAUGUUAUUUAACGUUGGUUAUCGGAAGCAUGA
Molecule: long non-coding RNA, 508 nt
Organism: Salvia miltiorrhiza (redroot sage)
Lineage: Eukaryota; Viridiplantae; Streptophyta; Magnoliopsida; Lamiales; Lamiaceae
Exons: 2
Source: RefSeq, a predicted model, not a curated record